Molecule: ribosomal RNA, 520 nt
Filed under: uncultured Scutellospora
Lineage: Eukaryota; Fungi; Glomeromycota; Glomeromycetes; Diversisporales; Gigasporaceae
Description: SSU rRNA
Rfam family: Eukaryotic small subunit ribosomal RNA
Source: RNAcentral
AGCAGCCGCGGUAAUUCCAGCUCCAAUAGCGUAUAUUAAAGUUGUUGCAGUUAAAAAAGCUCGUAGUUGAAUUUCGGGGUUCUACCGUUGGUCAGGCUAUUGUCUGUACUGGCGUGUAGAAUUUCUACCUUCUGGGGAACUAUCAUGUUAUUAAUUUAGCGUGGUAGGAAACCAGGACCUUUACCUUGAAAAAAUUAGAGUGUUCAAAGCAGGCUUAUGUCUGAAUACAUUAGCAUGGAAUAAUAAAAUAGGACGGUGGUCCUGUUUUGUUGGUUUCUGAAUCACCGUAAUGAUUAAUAGGGAUAGUUGGGGGCAUUAGUAUUCAAUUGUCAGAGGUGAAAUUCUUGGAUUUAUUGAAGACUAACUACUGCGAAAGCAUUUGCCAAGGAUGUUUUCAUUAAUCAAGAACGAAAGUUAGGGAUCGAAGACGAUCAGAUACCGUCGUAGUUUAACCAUAAACUAUGCCGACUAGGGAUCGGACGAUGUUAACUUUUCUUGACUCGUUCGGCGUCCUUACGGG